RNAcentral lists this ribosomal RNA (871 nucleotides) under Salmonella enterica. RNAcentral's name for it is "partial 23S ribosomal RNA". It matches the Rfam family "Bacterial large subunit ribosomal RNA", at positions 711 to 1499 of the family's 2925-position model. The record is from RNAcentral. Lineage: Bacteria; Pseudomonadati; Pseudomonadota; Gammaproteobacteria; Enterobacterales; Enterobacteriaceae. RNAcentral also lists the same sequence under 1 other name.
AGACCCGAAACCCGGUGAUCUAGCCAUGGGCAGGUUGAAGGUUGGGUAACACUAACUGGAGGACCGAACCGACUAAUGUUGAAAAAUUAGCGGAUGACCUGUGGCUGGGGGUGAAAGGCCAAUCAAACCGGGAGAUAGCUGGUUCUCCCCGAAAGCUAUUUAGGUAGCGCCUCGUGAAUUCAUCUCCGGGGGUAGAGCACUGUUUCGGCUAGGGGGCCAUCCCGGCUUACCAACCCGAUGCAAACUGCGAAUACCGGAGAAUGUUAUCACGGGAGACACACGGCGGGUGCUAACGUCCGUCGUGAAGAGGGAAACAACCCAGACCGCCAGCUAAGGUCCCAAAGUCAUGGUUAAGUGGGAAACGAUGUGGGAAGGCCCAGACAGCCAGGAUGUUGGCUUAGAAGCAGCCAUCAUUUAAAGAAAGCGUAAUAGCUCACUGGUCGAGUCGGCCUGCGCGGAAGAUGUAACGGGGCUAAACCAUGCACCGAAGCUGCGGCAGCGAACGUAUCACCCAAGACAACUUUACGGAGUUGACGAUUGACGGAGCGAAGCGACGUCAAAGCGUUCAUUAAAGUCGAGUUGGCUUAGGGAUACGUUCGUUGGGUAGGGGAGCGUUCUGUAAGCCUGUGAAGGUGUGUCGUGAGGCAUGCUGGAGGUAUCAGAAGUGCGAAUGCUGACAUAAGUAACGAUAAAGCGGGUGAAAAGCCCGCUCGCCGGAAGACCAAGGGUUCCUGUCCAACGUUAAUCGGGGCAGGGUGAGUCGACCCCUAAGGCGAGGCCGAAAGGCGUAGUCGAUGGGAAACGGGUUAAUAUUCCCGUACUUGGUGUUACUGCGAAGGGGGGACGGAGAAGGCUAUGUUGGCCGGGCGAC